This 486-nucleotide ribosomal RNA is filed under the name uncultured bacterium. RNAcentral describes it as "partial 16S ribosomal RNA". It matches the Rfam family "Bacterial small subunit ribosomal RNA", at positions 30 to 507 of the family's 1533-position model. The record is from RNAcentral.
AUUGAACGCUGGCGGCAUGCCUUACACAUGCAAGUCGAACGGCAGCACGGGUGCUUGCACCUGGUGGCGAGUGGCGAACGGGUGAGUAAUACAUCGGAACAUGUCCUGUAGUGGGGGAUAGCCCGGCGAAAGCCGGAUUAAUACCGCAUACGAUCUACGGAUGAAAGCGGGGGACCUUCGGGCCUCGCGCUAUCGGGUUGGCCGAUGGCUGAUUAGCUAGUUGGUGGGGUAAAGGCCUACCAAGGCGACGAUCAGUAGCUGGUCUGAGAGGACGACCAGCCACACUGGGACUGAGACACGGCCCAGACUCCUACGGGAGGCAGCAGUGGGGAAUUUUGGACAAUGGGCGAAAGCCUGAUCCAGCAAUGCCGCGUGUGUGAAGAAGGCCUUCGGGUUGUAAAGCACUUUUGUCCGGAAAGAAAUCCUUGGCCCUAAUACAGUCGGGGGAUGACGGUACCGGAAGAAUAAGCACCGGCUAACUACGUG